RNAcentral lists this microRNA precursor (58 nucleotides) under Monodelphis domestica (gray short-tailed opossum). Its description in RNAcentral is "microRNA mdo-mir-7358 precursor". Lineage: Eukaryota; Metazoa; Chordata; Mammalia; Didelphimorphia; Didelphidae. The record is from miRBase by way of RNAcentral.
CGCGAAAGUUGGCAAUGCCUCCGGGAGCCUGGAGUCGGAGGUUUGCCACCUUCCGGAC